RNAcentral lists this transfer RNA (66 nucleotides) under Atlantitermes snyderi. RNAcentral's name for it is "tRNA-His". It matches the Rfam family "tRNA". Rfam says of the family: Transfer RNA (tRNA) molecules are approximately 80 nucleotides in length. The record is from RNAcentral. Lineage: Eukaryota; Metazoa; Arthropoda; Insecta; Blattodea; Termitidae.
AUCUAAAUAGUUUAAAGGGAAAAUAUUGGUUUGUGGUGCCGAUGAUAUAUGGUUGUAUUUUAGAUU